Long non-coding RNA from Myiozetetes cayanensis, 2365 nucleotides. RefSeq lists it as uncharacterized. The record is from RefSeq and is a predicted model, not a curated record. The transcript has 3 exons. Lineage: Eukaryota; Metazoa; Chordata; Aves; Passeriformes; Tyrannidae.
UCUGGAAGAGGUGCUGGACGGCCCUCGGGAUCAUCCCGCGGGAUUCGGGGGCUCCCGGAGGUUCCGGCCCUUCCAUCGUGAAGGUUUUGCCGCUUCCCGUCUGCCCGUAGGCGAAGAUGCACACGGGGCCCACUUUGAGCUCCUGGAUGUCGUUGUGGAGGCGGCGCCGCUCCAUCUCCAGCAGGUGGAUCCGCUCUUCCUGCUGAUCCAGGAGGGAUUUUUGGGAUCUUUCCACCUCCUGGAGCGCAGCCAUCUGGUCCAGCUUCAUUUGCAGCUGCUCCUGGAUCUGCGCCAUGUGAGCCUGGGGAGAGGAAGAGGGGUGAAAAUGGCACAAAAAGGGCAAAAAAAAGGUGGAAUUUGGGCAAAAUUCCCAUGGUUUUCCCAAUUUUUCCUCAUUUUUGAGAUGCCCCAAGGGCUUUUGACGCCAAAAAGAAAAGCCACAAUUGGAACAAAUCCCCCAAUUUUUUUUUCCCCUUUUUUCUCCCACAGUCUGAGGAGCCCCCCUGAGGUAUUUUUGGUUGAAACCCAGUAACCGUGGUACAAAUUCCCAUUUCUUGCCUUUUUUCCCUUGACUCCUCCCAGUUUUCCAGCCACUCUGUGAGGAAUUUUGGGUGCAAAAAACCGGGAAUUGAUGCUACCCUCAGAUUUCCUGCCUUCCUCCCCCCCUUUGGGACCCCUUGGUGCAUUUCACAUUGGAAAGCACUGAGAAACGGCUCUGGAUUCCCAAUUUUCCCCCCCCCUCCUCCCCCAGAUAUUUUUUUUCAGGAAUUCCAGGCUGCAUGUCAUGGAUUCAGGUGGCUGAAGUUUUGGUAACAGGGGGCCAUAGAGAUAAUUUCGGUUAGAAGCUACUAGAAGCUUUUGCUGUUGUAUGAAAAAGCCAAUGAUAGCCAGUUCCAGGAUGGAAUUCCUACCACUAGCCAAUGGUAUUGGCUUCUGUGAUUGAUAACAUAUUUAAGAACACAGGGAGAGAAGCUGGAGAGAAGAGCAGAGGAAAGCAUGAGAUAGCAAUGUAGGCUCCAAAUUCAGUGUAGCAGGAGGGGGAAGGAGAGGCCCAGAGGCCACCCUCUCCCCCUCCAGCAGGGGAAAGACUGAAAGUCCAGACCCCUGCCACCUGUGUAAGAUUACUGGUGUGAGGAGAUCCCCCUACAGCUCAUGUAGAAGCCCACACUGGAAUAAGUGGUUGCACAAGGAAGGUGAGACUUCGUGGGAGGCCUAAGAUGAAACAGAGUCUUGCUGGAGACCUGUGGCCCAUGGAGAGGGAAACCUACGCUGGAGCAAGUUGUCCCCAGGCAGGACUUGUGGCCCUGUGGGGGAUCUACACUGAUGCAGCUGAUUUGUGGCUCAAGGGACAGCAGAUUAGGGAAGAACUGUGGCCCGAGGGAUGGACCCACGCCGGAGACGUCUGUCGAGGAGUGUCCCAUGGGGAGGGACCCCACAGGAAACAGGGAAAGGACUCAAAGCCAUCACCCCCUGUAACUGUGGUAACGACCAUUGGUGAAGCAAGUCCAUGGAGACCAUCAGAAUGCAGAGAGAGAGAGAAACUUCUGCGCCUGAUGGAAAAGUGACCCCCCAGGACAGUGGACUGGGAAGAAUUCCUGUCUAAGAGAUGGAUUUUAACAGUGGCAGAAGCAGCCACUGGCUGUGACUUCCUCCUCCCUUUCCCAUCUCCCUGCGCUGUUGGGAGAAGGACUGGGAACAUGGAGGGAAGGGGGGAGUGGAGAAAAGGUGUUGUGUUUUAAGACUGUUUUAUCCUUUUACUCUUUAGUUCUUAUUCUCUUAGCAGUAAAUCGAGCUUUUAGUUGAAGUCUGUUAGCAAUAAAUUUAAGUUCUAUUCACUUUGAAUCUGUUUGCUUGUGACAAUUAAUUACUAAGCCAGUCUCCCAGUUUUUAUCUCUCCUCAGGAAUUCUCUGACUGGUUUUUGCUUUUAGAGGGGGGAAGAGGGGAGAAAAGUAAGUGUUUAAAAUCCAGCCAGGGUUGAAACCCUGACACCGCACCUUUGUGUUCUCUAGGUUUUCUGACAGUGCUUGCUCCCGAGCUCUGCCCUCAUCCCGCUCCCGGCGCCGCUGCUGCUCCUCCUCCUCCAGACGCCGCUUUUCCAGAGCCAAACCCUCGGCCAGGGAGCGGCUCCGCUCCAGCUGCACCUCCAGGGAGCUGAGGGGAAAGUGGGGGGAAAUCGCAUGAAAAUGGGCAAUCCCCGAAUUUGGGGCAGGGCCGGGGCCAUUCAGGGAAGAUUCCUGAGGGAUUCCGGGGGGAUUGAAAGGAAAUGGCAUCUGGGCAGAUUUGGGGCAGUUUUGGUGAUUCCCUCACCCUACUGUGGCGAUGAGGUCGCUCUCUCGGCGUUCCCGCUCCAUGAGCUCCCUCUGG